Molecule: ribosomal RNA, 427 nt
Filed under: uncultured bacterium
Lineage: Bacteria
Description: bacterial SSU rRNA
Rfam family: Bacterial small subunit ribosomal RNA
Source: RNAcentral
GGGCCCGCACAAGCGGUGGAGUAUGUGGUUUAAUUCGAUGCAACGCGAAGAACCUUACCAGGGUUUGACAUCCUGCGAAUCUCUUGGAAACAGGAGAGUGCCUUCGGGAACGCAGUGACAGGUGGUGCAUGGCUGUCGUCAGCUCGUGUCGUGAGAUGUUGGGUUAAGUCCCGCAACGAGCGCAACCCUCACUUUUAGUUGCCACCAUUUAGUUGGGCACUUUAAAGGGACUGCCAGUGAUAAGCUGGAGGAAGGCGGGGAUGACGUCAAGUCCUCAUGGCCCUUAUGUCCAGGGCUACACACGUGCUACAAUGGCAGGUACAGAGGGCUGCGAAACCGUGAGGUCGAGCGAAUCUCAUAAAGCCUGUCCCAGUUCGGAUUGGAGGCUGAAACUCGCCUCCAUGAAGUCGGAGUUGCUAGUAAUCGC